Molecule: ribosomal RNA, 482 nt
Filed under: uncultured bacterium
Lineage: Bacteria
Description: bacterial SSU rRNA
Rfam family: Bacterial small subunit ribosomal RNA
Source: RNAcentral
UAGAGUUUGAUCAUGGCUCAGAAUCAACGCUGGCGGCGCGCUUAACACAUGCAAGUCGAACGAGAAAGGGAGCAAUCCUGAGUAAAGUGGCGUACUGGUGAGUAACACGUGGAUAUCUACCUCUUGGUGGGGGAUAACCUGGGGAAACCUGGGCUAAUACCGCAUAAGUUCGUGAGAAGAAAGGCGCAAGUCGCCGAGAGAGGAGUCCGCGGUCGAUUAGGUAGUUGGCGGGGUAAAAGCCCACCAAGCCGAAGAUCGAUAGCCGGCCUGAGAGGGCACACGGCCACACUGGCACUGAAACACGGGCCAGACUCCUACGGGAGGCAGCAGUGGGGAAUCUUGCACAAUGGGGGAAACCCUGAUGCAGCGACGCCGCGUGAGCGAUGAAGCCCUUCGGGGUGUAAAGCUCUUUCGGCAGGAACGAUAAUGACGGUACCUGCAGAAGAAGCUGCGGCUAACUACGUGCCAGCAGCCGCGGUAAU